RNAcentral lists this small RNA (145 nucleotides) under uncultured Blautia sp. Its description in RNAcentral is "Clostridiales-1 RNA". It matches the Rfam family "Clostridiales-1 RNA". The record is from RNAcentral. Lineage: Bacteria; Bacillati; Bacillota; Clostridia; Lachnospirales; Lachnospiraceae.
GAUACUAGGGGCGAAAGCUCAGAUAUUUCAUGCUUGCAUGAAUAUAUCUGAAUUUGAGCCCCGUUAAAACAUGAACAUGUAGCCCGAUAGGGCGGAAUGUGAAUGUUUUUCUGAAUUGUGGGAGCCCAAAGGGCGGAACAAUUCA